Loxodonta africana (African savanna elephant) is the source of this 107-nucleotide small nuclear RNA. The record is from Ensembl. Lineage: Eukaryota; Metazoa; Chordata; Mammalia; Proboscidea; Elephantidae.
GUGUUCGCUUUGUCACUAUAUAUACUAAAACUGGAGCAGCACAGAGAAGAUUAAUGAGGCUUAUGUGCAAGGAUGGUUCACACAUUUGUGAAUCAUUCCAUAUUUCC